Molecule: small nucleolar RNA, 97 nt
Organism: Otolemur garnettii (small-eared galago)
Lineage: Eukaryota; Metazoa; Chordata; Mammalia; Primates; Galagidae
Source: Ensembl
UUCCUUUUAUGGUUCAUGAGUGUGAUGAUCAGGUUUUCACAUUGUGUAAGAUGUGCCUCCUCAAACCUUGUUAUGUUGACAUUUGUCAGAUAUGAAA